RNAcentral lists this ribosomal RNA (252 nucleotides) under uncultured bacterium. Its description in RNAcentral is "partial 16S ribosomal RNA". It matches the Rfam family "Bacterial small subunit ribosomal RNA", at positions 524 to 776 of the family's 1533-position model. The record is from RNAcentral.
UACGUAGGCCCCGAGCGUUGUCCGGAUUUAUUGGGCAUAAAGCGAGCGCAGGUGGUUUAUUAAGUCUGGUGUAAAAGGCAGUGGCUCAACCAUUGUAUGCAUUGGAAACUGGUAGACUUGAGUGCAGGAGAGGAGAGUGGAAUUCCAUGUGUAGCGGUGAAAUGCGUAGAUAUAUGGAGGAACACCGGUGGCGAAAGCGGCUCUCUGGCCUGUAACUGACGCUGAGGUUCGAAAGCGUGGGUAGCAAACAGG